GCACUGGUGGUUUAGUGGUAAAAUUGGACAUUGCCAAGUUGUUCAAACUCGACGUUGUCUAGCCCCGGGUUCGAUUCCCGGCCAGUGCA
This 89-nucleotide transfer RNA is filed under the name Rhodotorula toruloides. Its description in RNAcentral is "tRNA-Gly". It matches the Rfam family "tRNA". From Rfam's summary of the family: Transfer RNA (tRNA) molecules are approximately 80 nucleotides in length. Their secondary structure includes four short double-helical elements and three loops (D, anti-codon, and T loops). Further hydrogen bonds mediate the characteristic L-shaped molecular structure. tRNAs have two regions of fundamental functional importance: the anti-codon, which is responsible for specific mRNA codon recognition, and the 3' end, to which the tRNAs corresponding amino acid is attached (by aminoacyl-tRNA synthetases). tRNAs cope with the degeneracy of the genetic code in two manners: having more than one tRNA (with a specific anti-codon) for a particular amino acid; and 'wobble' base-pairing, i.e. permitting non-standard base-pairing at the 3rd anti-codon position. The record is from RNAcentral. Lineage: Eukaryota; Fungi; Basidiomycota; Microbotryomycetes; Sporidiobolales; Sporidiobolaceae.